RNAcentral lists this ribosomal RNA (406 nucleotides) under uncultured bacterium. RNAcentral describes it as "partial 16S ribosomal RNA". It matches the Rfam family "Bacterial small subunit ribosomal RNA", at positions 30 to 526 of the family's 1533-position model. The record is from RNAcentral.
AUUGAACGCUGGCGGCAGGCUUAACACAUGCAAGUCGAGCGAGCGGCGGACGGGUGAGUGAUGUCUGGACAACUGGCUGAUGGAGGGGUAUAACUACUGGAAACGGUAGCUAAUACCGCAUACCCUCCUUUGUGCCCAGGUGGGAUUAGCUAGUAGGUGGGGUAAUGGCUCACCAGGGCGACGAUCCCUAGCUGGUCUGCGAGGAGGACCAGCCACACUGGGACUGAGACACGGCCCAGACUCCUACGGGAGGCAGCAGUGGGGAAUAUUGCACAAUGUGCGAAAGCCUGAUGCAGCCAUGCCGCGUGUAUGAAGAAGGCUUUCGGGUUGUAAAGUACUUUCAGCGGGGAGGCGUUACCCGCAGAAGAAGCACCGGCUAACUCCGUGCCAGCAGCCGCGGUAAUAC